RNAcentral lists this ribosomal RNA (440 nucleotides) under uncultured bacterium. Its description in RNAcentral is "partial 16S ribosomal RNA". It matches the Rfam family "Bacterial small subunit ribosomal RNA", at positions 338 to 795 of the family's 1533-position model. The record is from RNAcentral.
CCUACGGGAGGCAGCAGUGGGGGAUAUUGCACAAUGGGGGAAACCCUGAUGCAGCGACGCCGCGUGUGGGAAGACGGUCCUCUGGAUUGUAAACCACUGUCCCCAGGGACGAAGAUGACGGUACCUGGGGAGGAAGCUCCGGCUAACUACGUGCCAGCAGCCGCGGUAAUACGUAGGGAGCAAGCGUUGUCCGGAAUUACUGGGUGUAAAGGGAGCGUAGGCGGGAUGGCAAGUUGGGUGUUAAAUCUACCGGCUCAACUGGUAGUCGCACUCAAAACUGCUAUUCUUGAGUGAAGUAGAGGCAGGCGGAAUUCCUAGUGUAGCGGUGAAAUGCGUAGAUAUUAGGAGGAACACCGGUGGCGAAGGCGGCCUGCUGGACUGUGACUGACGUUGAGGCCCGAAGGCGUGGGGAGCAAACAGGAUUAGAUACCCCAGUAGUC